UACGUAGGGCGCAAGCGUUAUCCGGAAUUAUUGGGCGUAAAGAGCUCGUAGGCGGUUUGUCGCGUCUGCUGUGAAAGACCGGGGCUCAACUCCGGUUCUGCAGUGGGUACGGGCAGACUAGAGUGCAGUAGGGGGAGACUGGAAUUCCUGGUGUAGCGGUGAAAUGCGCAGAUAUCAGGAGGAACACCGGUGGCGAAGGCGGGUCUCUGGGCAACAACUGACGCUGAGGAGCGAAAGCGUGGGGAGCGAACAGG
RNAcentral lists this ribosomal RNA (254 nucleotides) under uncultured bacterium. RNAcentral describes it as "partial 16S ribosomal RNA". It matches the Rfam family "Bacterial small subunit ribosomal RNA", at positions 524 to 776 of the family's 1533-position model. The record is from RNAcentral.